GUGACUGGGGGGGAUUUUAGUGAGUCAAGGGCACUUUUGGAAAGUGGGGACAUUUUGGAAAAGUAGAAAAACAUUUUAGAAACUCAGGGUAGUUCUCGAAAGUGAGGACAUUUAAGGAAACUACAUUUUUAGUACAAUUGUAAGUACAGACCUUAUUGUAGGAUCUUUUGAUAAAUUAAGACAUUUUCCGAAAGUGGAGGCUUUUUUUAAAUGAUGCAUUUUUUUGAGGACUUUCUGAAACGUGAAUUAGUUUUUUAAUAAUGCCGACAUUUUCAGAAAGUGAGAGUAAUUUUGGAAACAGUGCUGGAUUGGAAAGCAGAAACAUGUUCCUGACAAUGAGGACAUUUUUGGCGACCAGAGCCACCGAGGAACUCAUUCAGCCUUUACCUGCCACGACAUUGGAGGACCCGGGAGUGUGAGAGAGCAGCCUCUCUCUAAGCCGGGUAGAGUGGUCUUCUUGAUCCUGUGGAAGCUGUUUGAAGAGUUUCAGUCCCUCUGCCUGCUCUGACUGACAGCCGUGCUCCGCUGGCCAGUUGCUGGCCUGAAUCCCCCGGCUUUGGGCCUCUGCAGCCGGCUCUCAUCCAGGCCUGAUCCCACAGAGGAAAGCCUCACUGCCGUCAGGACGGAUUUGACAGUCCUUGCUCAUCCUAGGGAUGUCCAAAGUGCUUUCACAGUGGGUGAAUGAACCCCUCCCACCGUUGCUCCCCACGGCCCGAACCAACUGUAGUGUGAUAGGCAAGUGUGCGUAUUGUAUUUGUUUUAUUUGUUAGAAAGAUAUCUAAAAUGUACCUUAUGCAUGUCAGUGAAAUUUAGUGAAGUUAGCCUAGGAUGAAUUGUGCGUUGUUUGAUUGAUAACACCACCUUAUAAAGCACAUCAAGCCCUUUGUCAAAAGUUGAAAUGUUUCAGUCCAGUUGGAAGCCACACAUUAAAAAAUGCUGGGUUAAAUGUGACCCCAGUGUGGUGAAUAUCAAACACAGACACGAUACUGGGUUCAUUUUACCCAGUAUCAGCCAACAGAAAGGUUGUUUUGAUCCUGUAACCCAACAGUAAUGUAAAACUAACACCAACACUGGGUCAAAAAACCCAAUUGGUACUGGGUCAGAUUAAUCCAGUAUUACGUCUCACGCUAUAUUGACUCCAAUGUGUUUUGGUUUAUUUCUGGAAACUUAAAAUUACAGUGUGUUUUACAAUAAUCAGGGGAAAUGAUUGGUUAUUUGGGCAGUGGCUAAAUUAUCUGACUAUAUAUUGCUGAAGGUAAGUGAGAAAAUAUGUUCUUUUGUCAUUUGGGUGCACCGACCCUUUGAAGGCAACGGACAAGAUUCUUUGUUGGUGCAACUUUUCACCACUGGAUCAUUAUCUAGUGAACACGUGUGUCAGGAGACAGACAGGACAUUGACUGGGUCAGGAAAUGGCUAGAGAGUGUAGACAUAGGAGUGGGAGCUGAGCUUCAUUGAUAAACCUACUUCAGUCCCAGACAAGGAAGGAAGCAGCGCAGGCUGCAGGAAUGGGAGGGAGACGCUAUAGAUCCAGUAUUGGGACAGGAGUCCAGCCACUGCCAGCCAUUGAUCAGGAUCACAAUCAAUCAGGAAACCAUUGAGCAGCUUGGUCCAAAAAUAGAGUGAAAAAGCACCUGAGAGCGAGCAGUGAACAGGGUCAGCUCGGAGUCACAGUUGACCGCCUGAAGACAUCGUGUCCCCUCUCACUCUGAUCGCCUGAGGCAGCAAGUGGAUCAGAGCACUGCUGUAAACCUCAGAGAUGUGUUUCAUAAUGGAGCGUACAGGUUUAUGCUACUUGACCCCUGACCCUCAAAUGUUAUUGACAUGUUUCCUUGUUCAUGGGUCAAAUCCUCCUCCCUGGAGCCAGAGAUCUUUUAGCUUAAUGCACCAGGCUGAACCAGCUGCAGUCAGAAAACCUGUUCUUAUGUUUGUUUGUAACAUUUUAGGGAGAGGGUGUGGAACAGUGAGCACUGUUCAACGACUUGU
Molecule: long non-coding RNA, 1983 nt
Organism: Dicentrarchus labrax (European seabass)
Lineage: Eukaryota; Metazoa; Chordata; Actinopteri; Moronidae
Exons: 3
Source: RefSeq, a predicted model, not a curated record